UUCCUACGGUCCUCCUCAUUUUUUAAUAUUUCACAAUUUGGUAAACCCUUAUGCAGCGACGCCGCGUGAAAGAAGAAGUAUUUCGGUAUGUAAACUUCUAUCAGCAGGGAAGAAAAUGACGGUACCUGACUAAGAAGCCCCGGCUAACUACGUGCCAGCAGCCGCGGUAAUACGUAGGGGGCAAGCGUUAUCCGGAUUUACUGGGUGUAAAGGGAGCGUAGGCGGUUUAGCAAGUCAGAAGUGAAAGCCCGGGGCUCAACUCCGGGACUGCUUUUGAAACUGUUGAACUAGAUUGCAGGAGAGGU
This 305-nucleotide ribosomal RNA is filed under the name uncultured bacterium. RNAcentral describes it as "bacterial SSU rRNA". It matches the Rfam family "Bacterial small subunit ribosomal RNA", at positions 336 to 658 of the family's 1533-position model. The record is from RNAcentral.